This is a small nuclear RNA of Tupaia belangeri (northern tree shrew), 103 nucleotides long. The record is from Ensembl. Lineage: Eukaryota; Metazoa; Chordata; Mammalia; Scandentia; Tupaiidae.
GUGCUUGCUUCAGCAGCACAUAUACUAAAAUUGGAGCGAUACAGAGAUUAACACAGCCCUGCGCAAGGAUGACACGCAAGUUCGUGAAGCAUUCCAUUACUUU